GACGAACGCUGGCGGCGUGCUUAACACAUGCAAGUCGAGCGGUAAGGCCCUUUCGGGGGUACACGAGCGGCGAACGGGUGAGUAACACGUGGGUGACCUGCCCUCAGCUCUGGGAUAAGCCUGGGAAACUGGGUCUAAUACCGGAUAUGACCUCAUGACUCAUGUUGUGGGGUGGAAAGCCUUGUGCGGCUAGGGAUGGGCCCGCGGUCUAUCAGCUUGUUGGUGGGGUAAUUGCCACCAAGGCGACGACGGGUAGCCGGCCUGAGAGGGCGACCGGCCACACUGGGACUGAGACACGGCCCAGACUCCUACGGGAGGCAGCAGUGGGGAAUCUUGCGCAAUGGGCGAAAGCCUGACGCAGCGACGCCGCGUGA
Molecule: ribosomal RNA, 374 nt
Filed under: uncultured bacterium
Lineage: Bacteria
Description: bacterial SSU rRNA
Rfam family: Bacterial small subunit ribosomal RNA
Source: RNAcentral